GCAGUCCACCAUUGAAAAAGGAUCUGACACGGUUCAAGAUUUCUUGUGUUCAAGUUGCAAGGACGAAAAACUGUUUGAAUCGGCUGAAUCCUGCGUGAAGUUUUAUUGCCAAAAAUGUAUCCGCAUGCAUGGAGAGUUGUUUAUUAAGAAACAUUUCCCUCAUGGAAGGGGUGAUAUGAAGAAAUGGCCAGUGGCCAAAAAGGUGGAAGAUCUUAUUCUUAAAUGUGGUGUUCAUAAAGAGGAAUACCUGAACAUGUAUUGCGAAGACCAUAGCCAGCUGUGCUGCACUAAUUGUGCAUUUCUCAAUCACAGACAAUGCAAACAGGUGAAGCUUGUAUCGGACAUAGUAAAGACAAACUCAACUAACCUGAAUAAGCUGUUAGUUACUAUCCAAACUAUUCUGGGAGAAAUGAAGAUUCUUCGAGACAAACAGAAGGCUAGCAUGGCGUCUGUACAAAGUUUAUACGAUAGGCAGUUAAAAAUAAUACAGAAAACACGCAGAAAAAUAAAUGCAACCUUAGACAUGCUUGAAAAAAAGACACUGAAGGAAAUGAAAGAUGCACUGACCAAACUGCAAGCCUCUCUAAGGGGUGAUGUUGACAAAUGUGCCUCACUUCAAGAUGAAUUAAAACAUCUUGGUGAUGCCAUACAAGACAUAAUUGAUAAAAGAUACCUGGAACUAUCUUUUGUAGCAAACAUUAAAUGUCAGGAAAAGAUCAAACAGUCUGAAACCUAUAAGAAGAAGACAUUUGAUAAAACACUAUCAUCAAUAGCUUUUCAGCCUAACAGUGAUAUUGAGCAUUACCUUUCCAAGUUGUCAGGUCUCGGGACUAUUGAACACAAUGUCCAGACAUUGACUGCGCAAGGAAAGCAAGACACAGUAAUAAGAUUGAACUGAAAGUCUGAAUAUGAUAUGAGCAUCCCAAGUCAUUCUGAUACAUGCUUUAUUACAGCCUUCUGUGUUCUCCCAACAGACUGGUCCUGGUUGCAGACAACAGCAAAAAUAAAGUUAAGCUGCUGGACGAGCAGUACCGCGUGGUGAAUCACUGUGAUGUAUCUGCCUGGCCACAGGACAUAUGUCAGAUAGCACCCAGUGAGUUUGCAGUGACUGUCGAUGCAAUAGAAAACACUCAUGAAGUCGUGUUUAUUACCGUCAUCAACAACCAGGUCGUCACAGGCAGGAAGCUGAAGUUAAAACAUAACUGUGUUGGUAUUACCUACCACCAGGAAAACCUGUUUGUCACAUCCAGUACUACCUUGUACAAGUACACAAUGAGCGGUAACCUGGUCUGCAAACUGUACCAGGACAAAUCAGAUACAUCAACAGGUCACGGUCAUACUUAGGGGUAAAACGCCAAACUUGACAUCUAAACAGCCAAAAAGUUCCUGUCUCAGCUAUAAUUUUGCCAUAUAUAUUAAUGGAUUUCAAAGUCACUUCGCACCAAAGUACACAGAUGUGUUGUGAGCCCGACAGGUGACAAGUUGUACGUCACCAACCCCUCCAAACACAAGCUGCUCACCCUGGCCAGGGAUGGAUGUGUCAUUGCCAUAUUCGCUGACCUUGAACUGAUAUCUCCAACUAGUGUACAUGUGACACCUGCAGGUCAGGUUCUUGUAAGUGGAGGGGAUUCCCACACUAUCCUACAGAUUGACAGUAAGGGAAUCAGGAAGCUGGCCACUCUGGCUACAGGGAGGGGAUGGGAUUCAGGAACCAUGGUCAGUCUGCUACAACAGCAAUACUGCUUCCAUUAUUGUUGGACAGUGUAAUAACAAGAUCCUGGUGUACAAAGUGAAAUAGAUAAUAAUUAUUGUAAUGUUUCAGACCCGUAUAGGGAGGGUUAAUAUAUAGACGGAGUUUGUAUGUAUAUUUAUUAACACACACACACACACACACACACACACACACACACACACACACACACA
This is a long non-coding RNA of Dreissena polymorpha, 1923 nucleotides long. RefSeq lists it as uncharacterized. NCBI's taxonomy places the organism in Eukaryota, Metazoa, Mollusca, Bivalvia, Myida, Dreissenidae. The record is from RefSeq and is a predicted model, not a curated record. The transcript is spliced from 4 exons.